This 468-nucleotide ribosomal RNA is filed under the name uncultured bacterium. RNAcentral's name for it is "partial 16S ribosomal RNA". It matches the Rfam family "Bacterial small subunit ribosomal RNA", at positions 28 to 507 of the family's 1533-position model. The record is from RNAcentral.
GACGAACGCUGGCGGCGUGCUUAACACAUGCAAGUCGAACGGAAAGGCCCUGCUUGUGUGGGGUUCUCGAGUGGCGAACGGGGGAGUAACACGAAUGUAGCCGGCCCUAGACUUUGGGAGAACUUCAGGAAACUGGGGCUAAUACCGGAUAGGAUCUCCUGCAGCAUGGUGGGGGUUGGAAAGUUUAGGCGGUUGGGGAUGGACGCGCGGCUUAUCAGCUAGUUGGUUGGGGAGUGGCAUACCAAGGGUUUGACGGGUAGCCGGCCUGGGAGGGUGAACGGGCACAUUGGGACUGAGGUACGGCCCAGACGCCUACGGGAGGCAGCAGGGGGGAAUAUUGCACAACGGGCGGAAGCCUGAUGCAGCAACGCCGCGGGCGGGAUGACGGCCUGCGGGUUGUAAACCGCUUUCGCCUGUGACGAAGCGUGAGUGACGGUAAUGGGUAAAGAAGCACCGGCUAACUACGUG